RNAcentral lists this unclassified non-coding RNA (213 nucleotides) under Hevea brasiliensis (rubber tree). The record is from RNAcentral. Lineage: Eukaryota; Viridiplantae; Streptophyta; Magnoliopsida; Malpighiales; Euphorbiaceae.
UAUGCUGUUCUUCAGAGUUGGGUUUCGAAAAAGUUCAUGACUGGAUGUGUUGUUCUCUUUCCAGUUGCUGUUUCCUUUUUAGUGACUUGGUGGUUUAUCCAGUUUGUUGAUGGUUUCUUUAGCCCAAUAUAUGCUAAACUUGGCAUUGACAUUUUCGGCCUUGGAUUUGUUACUUCACUACUUUUUGUAUUCUUCGUUGGAAUUUUUGCAUCA